UGGGGAAUAUUGGACAAUGGGCGAAAGCCUGAUCCAGCCAUGCCGCGUGUGUGAAGAAGGUCUUCGGAUUGUAAAGCACUUUAAGUUGGGAGGAAGGGCAGUAAGCGAAUACCUUGCUGUUUUGACGUUACCGACAGAAUAAGCACCGGCUAACUCUGUGCCAGCAGCCGCGGUAAUACAGAGGGUGCAAGCGUUAAUCGGAAUUACGGGGCGUAAAGCGCGCGUAGGUGGUUCGUUAAGUUGAAUGUGAAAGCCCCGGGCUCAACCUGGGAACUGCAUCCAAAACUGGCGAGCUAGAGUAGGGCAGAGGGUGGUGGAAUUUCCUGUGUAGCGGUGAAAUGCGUAGAUAUAGGAAGGAACACCAGUGGCGAAGGCGACCACCUGGGCUCAUACUGACACUGAGGUGCGAAAGCGUGGGGAGCAAACAGG
Molecule: ribosomal RNA, 429 nt
Filed under: Pseudomonadota bacterium
Lineage: Bacteria; Pseudomonadati; Pseudomonadota
Description: Proteobacteria bacterium partial 16S ribosomal RNA
Rfam family: Bacterial small subunit ribosomal RNA
Source: RNAcentral